UUGGAGGGCAAGUCUGGUGCCAGCAGCCGCGGUAAUUCCAGCUCCAAUAGCGUAUAUUAAAGUUGUUGCAGUUAAAAAGCUCGUAGUUGAAUUUCGGGAUUGACGUGAUGGUCAUGCCUUAAGGGGUAUGAACUGUUGCUGUUGAUUUCUCACCUUAUGGAGAAACUUGAUGUCCUUAAUUGGGUGUCUUGCGGAUCCAGGACCUUUACCUUGAAAAAAUUAGAGUGUUUAAAGCAGGCAUUUUUGCUCGAAUACAUUAGCAUGGAAUAAUAGAAUAGGACGGCAUGGUUCUAUUUUGUUGGUUUCUAGGAUCACCGUAAUGAUUAAUAGGGAUAGUUGGGGGCAUUAGUAUUCAAUUGUCAGAGGUGAAAUUCUUGGAUUUAUUGAAGACCAACUACUGCGAAAGCAUCUGCCAAGGAUGUUUUCAUUAAUCAAGAACGAAAGUUAGGGGAUCGAAGACGAUCAGAUACCGUCGUAGUCUUAACCAUAAACUAUGCCGACUAGGAAUCAGACGAUGUUAAUUUUUUAAUGACUCGUUUGGCACCUUACGGGAAACCAAAGUGUUUGGGUUC
RNAcentral lists this ribosomal RNA (572 nucleotides) under uncultured Glomeromycotina. Its description in RNAcentral is "SSU rRNA". It matches the Rfam family "Eukaryotic small subunit ribosomal RNA", at positions 548 to 1114 of the family's 1831-position model. The record is from RNAcentral. Lineage: Eukaryota; Fungi; Glomeromycota.